AAUUUAUACAGAGUCAUGGUCUCUGCUGCAAAUCCUCAAAGAGAACACAAUAAAUGGCAUAAACAGAACCGGGGGCCAGUAUCUCCUGUUCUGUGUGAUACCGCCAUGAAUUGUAGUGGGUCACUCCAAUUUGAGGGGGUAGGUUUGAAAAAACAAGCAAAAUCUGUCAUUCUGAAUGAAUGACAGAACCUCAUCACCAGUAAGGAAUCGAUGGCAUAAUCCAGAUGAGAAAUGUUAAUAACUUGGACUAGAGUGGCAGCAAUAGAGAUUGAAUUUGGGAUAUAGGCCACAAAGAUAUAUUGCUGGG
Molecule: long non-coding RNA, 307 nt
Organism: Myotis davidii
Lineage: Eukaryota; Metazoa; Chordata; Mammalia; Chiroptera; Vespertilionidae
Exons: 3
Source: RefSeq, a predicted model, not a curated record